This 71-nucleotide transfer RNA is filed under the name Candidatus Pacearchaeota archaeon. RNAcentral's name for it is "tRNA-Gly". It matches the Rfam family "tRNA". Rfam says of the family: Transfer RNA (tRNA) molecules are approximately 80 nucleotides in length. Lineage: Archaea; Nanobdellati. The record is from RNAcentral.
GCGCGAUUGGUUUAGUGGUAGAAUAAUUGGUUUCCAACCAAUUGGCAGGGGUUCGAUUCCCCUAUCGCGCA